GCGUUCGAGUCUCAGACAGACAGUGCCAAGGAAUUGCACACACAGUAAGGCAGGGUCAGCAACAGAGAGCGCCUGUGCGGGUGUUUUGUCCUACCCGUAUUUAAAAGUAAUUGUUCCGGUUACAAUGGGGUAAAGGGACGUGAGGGCAAAAUGUGAUUUGUUUUGCAGCCUUCAAAUAUAGUAUUGGUUCAAGGAAUUAAAUACGAGCGCUGUCAUAAAACAUCCUUGGAACCCAGAUGGACAGUAGAGAAAGAAUACACAUAUUUAAACAGGAAGCUGAACUGUCACGUUGAAUAAAGUCUGCUUUUAUUUUGCUGCCAACACACUAGAGGGUAAUAUAAUAUAAAGACACUUUGGCCGACCCAGACUACAUUACAUGUCUCUGGCAGGGAGCAAAAACUGAAGAACAGCUCUUGAAUUCAGGUGAAAGCAUCUAUUAAUGAUUUACACCCUGCUAGGCCAAGAAGUUGAUGUAAAAUUGA
Long non-coding RNA from Polyodon spathula (Mississippi paddlefish), 482 nucleotides. RefSeq lists it as uncharacterized. The record is from RefSeq and is a predicted model, not a curated record. The transcript has 3 exons. NCBI's taxonomy places the organism in Eukaryota, Metazoa, Chordata, Actinopteri, Acipenseriformes, Polyodontidae.